UGGGGAAUUUUGGACAAUGGGCGAAAGCCUGAUCCAGCAAUGCCGCGUGUGUGAAGAAGGCCUUCGGGUUGUAAAGCACUUUUGUCCGGAAAGAAAUCCUUGGCUCUAAUACAGUCGGGGGAUGACGGUACCGGAAGAAUAAGCACCGGCUAACUACGUGCCAGCAGCCGCGGUAAUACGUAGGGUGCAAGCGUUAAUCGGAAUUACUGGGCGUAAAGCGUGCGCAGGCGGUUUGCUAAGACCGAUGUGAAAUCCCCGGGCUCAACCUGGGAACUGCAUUGGUGACUGGCAGGCUAGAGUAUGGCAGAGGGGGGUAGAAUUCCACGUGUAGCAGUGAAAUGCGUAGAGAUGUGGAGGAAUACCGAUGGCGAAGGCAGCCCCCUGGGCCAAUACUGACGCUCAUGCACGAAAGCGUGGGGAGCAAACAGGAUUAGAUACCCUGGUAGUCCACGCCCUAAACGAUGUCAACUAGUUGUUGGGGAUUCAUUUCCUUAGUAACGUAGCUAACGCGUGAAGUUGACCGCCUGGGGAGUACGGUCGCAAGAUUAAAACUCAAAUGAAUUGACGGGUCAUAGCUG
This 578-nucleotide ribosomal RNA is filed under the name uncultured bacterium. Its description in RNAcentral is "partial 16S ribosomal RNA". It matches the Rfam family "Bacterial small subunit ribosomal RNA", at positions 355 to 926 of the family's 1533-position model. The record is from RNAcentral.